UACGAAGGGGGCGAGCGUUAUCCAGAAUGAUUGGGCGUAAAGUGUCCGUAGACAGUUAUAAGAUUGUUUUAAGUUAAAUUUUUUUUAUAGUAAAAACAAAACUGCUUUUAAUACUUUUUAACUAGAGUAUAGUAGAGGAUAAUAGAAUUUCAUACAUAAGAGUAAAAUCUAAUAAUUUAUGAAAGAAUGUCUGAGGCGAAAGCGAUUAUCUGGACUAUUACUGACGUUGAGGGUCGAAAGCGUAGGGAGCAAACAGGAUUAGAGACCCUGGUAGUCUACGCUGUCAAAGAUGAAUGCUAACUUUGGGAAAUUUUCUGAUGUAAAGUAAACACAUUAAGCAUUCCGCCUGGGGAGUACGAUCGCAAGAUUGGAACUCAAAAGAAUUGACGGGGGUCUAUCCUAGUGGUGGAGCAUGUGGUUUAAUGCGAUAGUACCCGCAAAACCUUACCAGAUUUUGCAUAUAAAUUAUUAGAAAUGUUAUAUUUUCUAUUAUUAAUAAUAUUUGAUUUAUUAUUUAUAAUAAAUUUUUACAGGUGUUGCAUGGCUGUCGUCAGUUCGUGCCGUGAGGUGUUUGGUUAAUUCUUUUAACGAGCGUAACUCUUUGUUUAUUUUGGUAAUUUUUAAUAAAACUAUUAAAAAACAACUAUUAAUCGACAGUCGAUGAUAAAUCGAAGGAAGGUGAGAAUGAAGUCAAGUCCUUAUGGCCUUUAUAAUCUGGGCUACACACGUGCUACAAUGAUAAAUACAAAAAGUUAUACAAAAAAGCAAUUUUGAGUAAAUCUUUAAAAAAUAUCGUGUUCGGAUUGUUAACUGAAACUCGUUAACAUGAAGUUGGAAUCACAAGUAAUCGUAGAUCAGCAAGCUAUGGUGAAUAUGUACUUAGACCU
Molecule: ribosomal RNA, 887 nt
Filed under: uncultured bacterium
Lineage: Bacteria
Description: bacterial SSU rRNA
Rfam family: Bacterial small subunit ribosomal RNA
Source: RNAcentral